Molecule: unclassified non-coding RNA, 548 nt
Filed under: Arabidopsis thaliana (thale cress)
Lineage: Eukaryota; Viridiplantae; Streptophyta; Magnoliopsida; Brassicales; Brassicaceae
Source: RNAcentral
AAACCAAAAACCAUACUCAAGACUCAUUAUGACUAGCUCUAUGAAGAAAAUGAUUCUUAUCAUUUUCAUCACAACCAUGGUUUUAUCUCCGACAAGUUUUAUCUCUUGUCUCGCAGGUAAGUAAACUGCUUAGUUAACUGAUUUAAUUUGAGAAUUUACCUAUCAAUUUAGAGUUUUUUUUAUGUAUCUCUAUUCGCAUAUGAAGAUGUUCAUGCUACUGAAAGUCCCACCGAACCAGCAGCCUCUCACGUUACUGGAGGUGAUAAAGUAGCAUGUCCUGCUUGCCGCUGCUGUGAAGGCCCAAAACCUCCACCGGGAACUUGUUGCCGUUGUUGUUAAAUGUUAAUUAAGCUCAAAAAUCAACUUCCUCGUAAACUUUAGUUAAGCCUCUUAAUUACUAUUAGGGUUCAAUAUCUACUUAUGUUGUUGUAGUGUUGUGUAUUCGUACUUGUCUUGACCAAAUAAAAGUGUAGCUAGCCGCUUAAAUCCAUCCGUUGUUAGGAUGGUGCUUUGGCCAAAGUGAUUCGAAUAUACCUUUUAUACACAAA